Molecule: long non-coding RNA, 101 nt
Organism: Myotis brandtii (Brandt's bat)
Lineage: Eukaryota; Metazoa; Chordata; Mammalia; Chiroptera; Vespertilionidae
Exons: 3
Source: RefSeq, a predicted model, not a curated record
GAAGAAGGAAGCCCAGAUUUGGGAAUGGAUGAUGAAGGUGAUGAUGACCCAGUUCCUCUACCAAAUGUUGAUGCAGCAAUAUUACAAAAGCUCAUUCAGUG